This 346-nucleotide ribosomal RNA is filed under the name uncultured bacterium. Its description in RNAcentral is "partial 16S ribosomal RNA". It matches the Rfam family "Bacterial small subunit ribosomal RNA", at positions 338 to 681 of the family's 1533-position model. The record is from RNAcentral.
CCUACGGGAGGCAGCAGUGAGGAAUAUUGGUCAAUGGGCGCGAGCCUGAACCAGCCAAGUAGCGUGAAGGAUGAAGGCCCUACGGGUUGUAAACUUCUUUUAUAAAGGAAUAAAGUGAGGCACGUGUGCAGUUUUGUAUGGACUUUAUGAAUAAGGAUCGGGUAACUCCGUGCCAGCAGCCGCGGUAAUACGGAGGCUCCGAGCGUUAUCCGGAUUUAUUGGGGUUACAGGGAGCGUAGAUGGGUUGUUAAGUCCGUUGGGAAAGUUGUCGGCUCACCCGUAAAAUUGCAAUUGAUGCUGGCGAUCUUGAGUACAGUUGAGGUAGGCGGAAUUCGUGGUGUAGCGG